This is a long non-coding RNA of Daphnia pulex (common water flea), 1215 nucleotides long. RefSeq lists it as uncharacterized. The transcript has 2 exons. The record is from RefSeq and is a predicted model, not a curated record. Lineage: Eukaryota; Metazoa; Arthropoda; Branchiopoda; Diplostraca; Daphniidae.
AUAUGUGUAUACAAGAAGGAGGAGGGAAUAUUCUGAAUUUAGAAAGGAGAACGAAUUGGAUGAGGCGGGCAUUAGGUCAUAAUUAUUUAUAGUGGCGCACGUGGCUAUAGCAGCAGCAGCUCUCGGUUAGUAUAGAAGAAACUACCAGGCUGGGACGUUUCCCUAUACAGUCGUUUGAGGAGGAUCAGCUGAGAUUGAACAGUCCUCCUUAAUCCGGUGGUUAUACAACAGACUGAUCUGCUGCUGCCGUGAUAUUAGAAUAUAAAUUGUGCGCGCAGCAGCUUCAGAUUCAUCCGCAUUUAUAUCGUGAUUGGAUUCUGAAAUUUUGAUUCCGAGAUUCGUUAAAUGGCGACAAGAUGGCCAGGGAAUUGGUGGCUCUGCUUAUCGUUUUUGGUUACGUUGAUGACAUCCGCAUGUUCCUCCGCAACUUCCGCUAUUCGUGAUUUACAACCAGCCAGCGAGGAGCCAGUUCCCUUGAUCACUUCGGCUGCUCACCUACUCGCCAUGCUCCUUCCGAUCCCAUUUUUCGCCGGAAUUUUAGCGUUCGGCUUGACGGUUCCCGCUCUCUCUGCAGCUGGCGUCUUUCCAUUCGGUGGACGCAAGAGACGCGACUUGACGACAACCGCGGCGAGCAUAAACAGCAUAAACAGCAGCGACUUUGAUUUCGAUCGUUAUUUGACAUCGGAGCAACGCAGAUAUCUGGUUUCUUUGGCCGCUUUAGUGGAGCAUGCUCUUGAAAGUUACAUCUUUGCGUCCAAGAAAGAAGACCCGCCUCGUCGUCCUGCAGCAACCUCGAAAUAUUCGUCUUGACCAAAAAACUGGAAGGAGACGAUACAACCGGUUUGACGUAACACAACGCAACUCCCAAUUGGAAAUGGGAUGCUCUAUAAAAGAAUGUUGGGUAUAUCGUCGUGUCCUAUAUUUUUUAUACCCGUCCUGUUUGAUAGUAGACAUUCGGAACGUCCUACAUCUACUUUGGAGUUCACGAUGAACUCGUGACGAUGCGUUUCGGCGUGAAUAUUUGAUGUCCUCCUGAUAUUUGUACUCCUGUAAUAUGUAUAAACCGAAACCCACCUCUGCCCCAGGCGACGACCUGUCCUAAAUUUACUGCUUCUUAUUUCCUCGACUAUGCCCGAGCGCGGGCACCGUGUGCCGAAAAUGGCUCUUGUUUCUGCAUUCGAAAUCAAAUGAAUAUACAGUCAACUAUAUCUCGAA